RNAcentral lists this ribosomal RNA (445 nucleotides) under uncultured bacterium. RNAcentral describes it as "partial 16S ribosomal RNA". It matches the Rfam family "Bacterial small subunit ribosomal RNA", at positions 354 to 796 of the family's 1533-position model. The record is from RNAcentral.
GUGAGGAAUAUUGCGCAAUGGAGGCAACUCUGACGCAGCCAUGCCGCGUGCAGGAAGAAGGCGCUACGCGUUGUAAACUGCUUUUAACCGGGAAGAAACCCCAGGACGUGUCCUGGGUUGACGGUACCGGAGGAAUAAGCACCGGCUAACUUCGUGCCAGCAGCCGCGGUAAUACGAAGGGUGCAAGCGUUAUCCGGAUUCAUUGGGUUUAAAGGGUGCGUAGGCGGAGCGUUAAGUCAGUGGUGAAAUCCUGCAGCUUAACUGUAGACUUGCCAUUGAUACUGGCGCUCUUGAGUGCGCUUGAAGUGGGCGGAAUGUGCCGUGUAGCUGUGAAAUGCUUAGAUAUGGCACAGAACACCAAUUGCGAAGGCAGCUCACUAAGGCGAUACUGACGCUGAGGCACGAAAGCGUGGGGAUCGAACAGGAUUAGAAACCCCGGUAGUCC